GCACCCGUAGCUCAAUUGGACAGUGCAUCGGUCUUCGGAACCGAGGGUUAGAGGUUCGAGUCCUCUCGGGUGUA
This 74-nucleotide transfer RNA is filed under the name Planctomycetota bacterium. RNAcentral's name for it is "tRNA-Arg". It matches the Rfam family "tRNA". Rfam says of the family: Transfer RNA (tRNA) molecules are approximately 80 nucleotides in length. Their secondary structure includes four short double-helical elements and three loops (D, anti-codon, and T loops). Further hydrogen bonds mediate the characteristic L-shaped molecular structure. tRNAs have two regions of fundamental functional importance: the anti-codon, which is responsible for specific mRNA codon recognition, and the 3' end, to which the tRNAs corresponding amino acid is attached (by aminoacyl-tRNA synthetases). tRNAs cope with the degeneracy of the genetic code in two manners: having more than one tRNA (with a specific anti-codon) for a particular amino acid; and 'wobble' base-pairing, i.e. permitting non-standard base-pairing at the 3rd anti-codon position. Lineage: Bacteria; Pseudomonadati; Planctomycetota. The record is from RNAcentral.